Molecule: long non-coding RNA, 909 nt
Organism: Olea europaea var. sylvestris
Lineage: Eukaryota; Viridiplantae; Streptophyta; Magnoliopsida; Lamiales; Oleaceae
Exons: 2
Source: RefSeq, a predicted model, not a curated record
AUUCACUUGGCUCUUGAAAUUUCAUUUCACAGUCAAAUAAUUUUCAUUCACCCACGCUGGCAUUUCAUUUCAUUCCAGAACCCUAACCUCAAAUCCAUAACUUCAUCUCUUCUCAUGGAUUUGCACCGCCUCACUCUUCCUCUUCCUCACUAUCUCUGACUCUUUCUCUUUGAGCAUAUAGAGAGAAAAGGGAACCUCAAAUUUCAAUAUGUUUCGAAUCAGAACAGAACAGAGUCCCACAGUAAUUGAAAUCCUAAUUGUGCAGCCGAUUAGAAAUAGCAAUUGAACAGAAUCCCAUUAGUCCCUUUGAGUCCCAUUACACACAACAAUUGAACGGAGACUUUCCAUCCGCCAUCCGCUUGUGCCGUUGUGCGGGAGAUUCAAUCGACACAAGAGACGGGAAAAAUUUUGCGGUGCUGUUGCUAUCGAUUUAGCGAUCCGCCUGCCGUCGUUGACAGUUGCCAUGGUAGUCCAUCGCCAAUCGCCACAGUCGUUUGCUUCACAAGCCCGGGGUUAAGAAAUGUCAGUGGAUAAGAGUUGGACAUUGCAUAAUAGGAUAAGAGUUGGACAUUGCUGACUAAUAGAUAAGAGAUGCAUUAUAGCAAUGAAUGCGGGUAGACAACUAAAGAAGCGGAGUCUCAUUAUGUGAGCAACUGAUGCUUUUGAAAGAAUCUGAAAUAUGUGAGCAAGUUUUGAGCAAGAGAUUUAGCUAUGUUGAUCAAUAGAAAAAUUCAAAGGAGACAAUGUUAAAAAAUUGUGGUACUUGUUCAGAGAAUGCUGCUUUACAGAAUGAGGUUCAAGAUCUUUGUUUUCAAUUGGAAUCUAUGUAGACAUUCUUAAAUUGCAUUAUAGAAGAGUUUCUUCUUCGACCUAAUAUUAUUAUCAAUUGGCUUUCCUCACUUUUUAUAA